Long non-coding RNA from Dama dama (fallow deer), 1886 nucleotides. RefSeq lists it as uncharacterized. The record is from RefSeq and is a predicted model, not a curated record. NCBI's taxonomy places the organism in Eukaryota, Metazoa, Chordata, Mammalia, Artiodactyla, Cervidae. The transcript has 3 exons.
GUGAGACACAGCCUUAAAACUGUUGCAGAUUCUCAGGCCAAAAAGAACUGUGAUCUGUUUGCUGUGAUUAUCAAUUAUGCUGUCUUUUUUUUUUUCCUUUCGGAUGAACCUUCCAAGUUGUAUUAGGUGUCAACGAAAUAUUAGUCACAACCUCAAAGUAGAGAGUUAUUUUAUUUGGUGGGAAUAUUUAGGACCCCAAGCCGGGGAGACAGCAUCUCAGUAGCUCUGAGAAAACUGCUUCAAGGAGGCAGGAGGGGGAGUCAGGCUGUAUACAAGUUUGCAACAAAGGGAGCAGUCAUUCUGAACAUCAAAGAUCAGAUAUCAAGUUAAGGAACUUAGUGUUCUAGGUAUGGGAAAAUGCCAGCCUUUGGACUCACUGAAUCCAUUCCUUUCAUUGCACUUCGGCUGUCUGGGGCCAAAUUCUGUUUCCUUGUUCACCUUAAGAAGUGGCAGCUGUGGCAGAUGGCUGAUUCGUGCAUUCCCCAGCUUCUCAGCAGUCACUGUGCGGGAUGGAGGCAUCUGCUGGAUCCCACUUUGAUUAAAAAGAAAACAAACUGCCAGCAACUCUAGUUCUAUUUUUCCCUGUGAGAACACUGUCAACCCACUGUGGAACUGAAUUCCAUAGGAUAAAGAAAUUUAAGUUGAUUUUAUGUGCCAUAAAGUUUAUGGAAAGAUUCUUCACAGGUUCUAUAGCUGUCAACGGAAAACUGUCACCUGCUACAACAGUAAACAACGGAUGUUACAGCCAUCAAGCCACUGCACACUCCAGCGGGGCACCCUGAGGGGACUCAGGAGGAGAAAGCUCCAGACACCUGCCCCAGAUGGCUGAGGGGCACAUCAAAGGAGUGACUUCUGUGAGCCCAGACUCUUGCAUCUUCCUGUACACAGAAAAGCACAAAAUUCCUUAUCUUGGGAUUUCCGGUUUUCUUUACUUAACAGUAAUCCCUUGAUGUUCUAACUACCUGAAAUUUGUUGCAAAAACUCUUAUGUGUCCUGGCUCCUCCCUUACCUCUUUGGCGCUGUUCCUUAGGGUAGUUGUCCCCAGCCUUUUGGGUCCCAGCGACUGAUUGUGUGGAAGACAAUUUUUCCAUGGCCUGGGGGCUGGGGGGGGUGGUUUCAGGAUGAUUCAGGUGCAUUAUAUUAUGUGUGCGAGUGUGCUACGUUGAUUUAGUUGUGUCCAACUCUUUGCAACCCCAUGGACUGUAGCCCACCAGGCUCCUCUGUCCAUGGGAUUCUAAGGCAAGGCUCCUGGAGUGGGUUGUCAUGCCCUCCUCCAGGGGAUUUUCCCGACCCAGGGAUUGAACCCGCAUCUCCUUCACUGUAGGCAAUUCUUUACCACUAGCGCCACCUGGAAAGCCUACAUGUAUCAUGCACUUAAUUUCUGUUAUCACAUCAGCUCCAUCUCAGAUCAUCAGGCAUUAGAUCCCAGAUGUUGAGGACCCCUGCCUUAGAGCUAUCUGAAAGGCUGCUUCUGGGGCUUAAGUCCUCAGCUUUGCUUGCUAAAUAAAACAGGUAUCUCAACUUUUAGGCCAUGUAUUUUUUUUUUUUUUUUCGGUUGACAUAGACUUCCUGCAAUGUGCCCACUGUGCCCAGGCAGGGGGCUAGUGGGAGAAUGAAGGAAAAAAUAAAGCGGAUCACAGGGCCCAAUCGUGCAGCCAAUCCAAAUUGCAUAACCCGACAGAUACUCACUGUUUUACAGGCAUAUGAAACAAUAAGCCUGCAUUUCCUGAGUAGGUCCUACCUCAUCUGUGUUGUGAUUAAAUCACAGACUGUCAUGGAUCUGAGAGUUCAGGGCAGUGAGGCUGGUGUUCAGUGGAAGCCCCUGAGUCUUUCAGCAGAGCUCUGCCAUGGAUGUCGGUCAUGGCACCAGCUCCUUAUGAACUAAA